This 497-nucleotide ribosomal RNA is filed under the name uncultured bacterium. RNAcentral's name for it is "partial 16S ribosomal RNA". It matches the Rfam family "Bacterial small subunit ribosomal RNA", at positions 28 to 507 of the family's 1533-position model. The record is from RNAcentral.
GAUGAACGCUGGCGGUGUGCCUAAUACAUGCAAGUCGAGCGAACAGACGAGGAGCUUACUCCUCUGACGUUAGCGGCGGACGGGUGAGUAACACGUGGAUAACCUACCUAUAAGACUGGGAUAGCUUCGGGAAACCGGAGCUAAUACCGGAUAACAUGUUGAACCGCAUGGUUCAACAGUGAAAGACGGUCUUGCUGUCACUUAUAGAUGGAUCCGCGUCGCAUUAGCUAGUCGGUAAGGUAACGGCUUACCAAGGCAACGAUGCGUAGCCGACCUGAGAGGGUGAUCGGCCACACUGGAACUGAGACACGGUCCAGACUCCUACGGGAGGCAGCAGUAGGGAAUCUUCCGCAAUGGGCGAAAGCCUGACGGAGCAACGCCGCGUGAGUGAAGAAGGUCUUCGGAUCGUAAAACUCUGUUAUUAGGGAAGAACAAAUGUGUAAGUAACUAUGCACGUCUUGACGGUACCUAAUCAGAAAGCCACGGCUAACUACGUG